RNAcentral lists this ribosomal RNA (253 nucleotides) under uncultured bacterium. RNAcentral describes it as "partial 16S ribosomal RNA". It matches the Rfam family "Bacterial small subunit ribosomal RNA", at positions 524 to 776 of the family's 1533-position model. The record is from RNAcentral.
UACGGAGGGUGCAGGCGUUAUCCGGAUUCACUGGGUUUAAAGGGUGCGUAGGUGGGCAAGUAAGUCAGUGGUGAAAUCUCCGGGCUUAACCCGGAAACUGCCAUUGAUACUAUUUGUCUUGAAUACUGUGGAGGUCAGCGGAAUAUGUCAUGUAGCGGUGAAAUGCUUAGAUAUGACAUAGAACACCAAUUGCGAAGGCAGCUGGCUACACAAAUAUUGACACUGAGGCACGAAAGCGUGGGGAUCAAACAGG